UACGUAGGGGGCAAGCGUUGUCCGGAAUUAUUGGGCGUAAAGAGCGCGUAGGCGGUCCGGUAAGUCGGCUGUGAAAGUCAAGGGCUCAACCCUUGAAAGCCGGCCGAUACUGUCGGACUAGAGUCCGGAAGAGGCGAGUGGAAUUCCGAGUGUAGAGGUGAAAUUCGUAGAUAUUCGCAAGAACACCAGUGGCGAAGGCGGCUCACUGGCCCGAUACUGACGCUGAGGCACGAAAGCGUGGGGAGCAAACAGG
This 253-nucleotide ribosomal RNA is filed under the name uncultured bacterium. RNAcentral's name for it is "partial 16S ribosomal RNA". It matches the Rfam family "Bacterial small subunit ribosomal RNA", at positions 524 to 776 of the family's 1533-position model. The record is from RNAcentral.